Molecule: long non-coding RNA, 1485 nt
Filed under: Eucalyptus grandis
Lineage: Eukaryota; Viridiplantae; Streptophyta; Magnoliopsida; Myrtales; Myrtaceae
Description: long non-coding RNA (EGRA_LNC001968)
Source: RNAcentral
CUCACAGGUCAAAUUAAUGAUUAUUUUAAACCUAAUUAUCACGACAAAGAGUUCAAAAUAAUUAAAAAUCUAAUCCGAAAUCUUACGGAUCAAAUUAAUAAUUACAUUGAUUUAACAACCAAAAUACCAUCAAAAAGCCUGAAACUUAAUAUAAUUAAAAAAUUGAUCCGAUGUCUCUCGGAUCAAAUUAAUAAUUACAAUAAGUUCGGACAAAAUCCUUACGUAUAAUGCCUACAAAAUGCACAAAUAUUAAUAUUGACAAAUCAUAUUCUAACUUAAACAAUAAUAACAAAAUUUAAAAUGAAUAAAUAAUAAAAUAAAGAAAAACAAACUACCUAAUUUGCUUUUCUCUUUUUCUUUUAUUUUUGUUUUUCUUUUUCCUUUGUUUCCAAAAGAAAAGCUCGGCAGCUCGUGCGGCUGGUCACCGGGAACUCCGGCGAAGGCGGACCGGCAGGAACGGGGCGGCACCCGAGCAGCAGGGACAACCGGCGGAACAGGGGUGUCGCAAUCAGAGGUUGCGGAGGUGCGGAGCUCCGGCGAGAUCUGGCAAUUCGGAGGGGGGUGCCGCUGGUGCUCGAGCAAAUCUGGGCAGAGGAUCUGAGCGGAUCGGACUCCAGUGGAGGCGCUGCAGGUGUCGGGGCAGAGCAGCAAGGGCAAGCGGGACCGGCUUCUCUGGCGUUGGUGGUGGAGUCCGGCAGCUUGAUCGGCGUCUGGACGGGUGAUGGAGUGGCGAGGGCUGGCGUCGGCCUCCUGGGUCGCAAACAGCAGCGACUUCGCGGGCCGGCGCGGGCUUUCAGAUGCGAUGGCGCUCGGAGAAGGGACUUCGAUCGCUGGUCUUCGGGUUGAGGCGGACCAGCAGCGAAACAAGGAAAUCCGGCGUCGCGGGGGCUGUAGGCGGUCACCGAUCUGCUGGUGACGAGCUGCGGUGGUACUUCAGAGACGGCAAGCGGGCGGUCGAAGGCGUGGUGGUCGCUCGGGUCGUCGUGCCGUUCGGCGGCGUCAGUGCAACACGGGCCGCCGGAUCAGAGGGCUUUCCAUCGGGUUCCGGUAUUGAACUCGAGCAUCGCCGGAUUGAAACAGAAAUGGAGCCGGCAAGAGGAGGGCCGAGACGGAACCAGCAGAGGGAAGAGGGUGAUGAACAGUAAAUGUCCAAUCACCUUCUUUCCCUUCUGCUCCCUUUUUCACUUUUCUCCCUUUCUGCCUUUUUAACUUUUCUCCCUUUCUCUUCUCUUUCUCUCUGCAGAAGCGAAAGCUUCUCUUGACUUUUCCUUUUUUGUGUUUUCUUUUUCCUUCAACGAAAAAUGAAGAGAAGCCCCCCCUACAAACCGAAGCCUCGGCUUCUCUUUUAUAGAAGAAAAACUUGAAAUUGUUGAAGAUCCGGCGAUAUUCACUCAACCUCUUCAACAAAGAAAUGGCUCCAAAAAUCCGGCCGUUGAAUUAUUUUGAAUUCAAUUUUUUUUUUUUCAAAAUUUCCCUCUACAACCA